Molecule: ribosomal RNA, 490 nt
Filed under: uncultured bacterium
Lineage: Bacteria
Description: bacterial SSU rRNA
Rfam family: Bacterial small subunit ribosomal RNA
Source: RNAcentral
GAUGAACGCUGGCGGCGUGCUUAACACAUGCAAGUCGAACGGGAAUGUUUCGCUGAUGCGAUUUCGGUCAAAUCUUGAAGCAUUUUAGUGGCGGACGGGUGAGUAACGCGUGGGUAACCUGCCCUGUACAGGGGGACAACAGUUGGAAACGACUGCUAAUACCGCAUAAGCGCACAGCUUCGCAUGAAGCGGUGUGAAAAACUCCGGUGGUACAGGAUGGACCCGCGUCUGAUUAGAUAGUUGGUGAGGUAACGGCCCACCAAGUCAACGAUCAGUAGCCGGCCUGAGAGGGUGAACGGCCACAUUGGGACUGAGACACGGCCCAAACUCCUACGGGAGCAGCAGUGGGGAAUAUUGCACAAUGGGGGAAACCCUGAUGCAGCGACGCCGCGUGAGUGAAGAAGUAUUUCGGUAUGUAAAGCUCUAUCAGCAGGGAAGAAAACAAUGACGGUACCUGACUAAGAAGCCCCGGCUAACUACGUGCCAGCAG